GUCCUAGCCGUAAACGAUGGACACUAAAUGGAGGGGGUUUACCUCUCUCUGUUGCAGCUAACGCGUUAAGUGUCCCGCCUGGGGAGUACGGCCGCAAGGUUAAAACUCAAAGGAAUUGACGGGGGCUCGCACAAGCGGUGGAGCAUGUGGUUCAAUUCGAUGCAACGCGAAGAACCUUACCCGGGCUUGAAGUGGAGGUGGUAGGAACCGGAAACGGUAACGACCCCGAAAGGGGAGCCUUCAUCAGGUGUUGCAUGGCUGUCGU
RNAcentral lists this ribosomal RNA (265 nucleotides) under uncultured bacterium. RNAcentral describes it as "partial 16S ribosomal RNA". It matches the Rfam family "Bacterial small subunit ribosomal RNA", at positions 793 to 1055 of the family's 1533-position model. The record is from RNAcentral.